This 235-nucleotide ribosomal RNA is filed under the name uncultured bacterium. RNAcentral describes it as "partial 16S ribosomal RNA". It matches the Rfam family "Bacterial small subunit ribosomal RNA", at positions 96 to 334 of the family's 1533-position model. The record is from RNAcentral.
UGGCGGACGGGUGAGUAAUGUCUGGGAAACUGCCCGGUGGAGGGGGAUAACUACUGGAAACGGUAGCUAAUACCGCAUAACGUCGCAAGACCAAAGAGGGGGACCUUAGGGCCUCUUGCCAUCGGAUGUGCCCAGAUGGGAUUAGCUAGUAGGUGGGGUAAUGGCUCACCUAGGCGACGAUCCCUAGCUGGUCUGAGAGGAUGACCAGCCACACUGGAACUGAGACACGGUCCAG